Small nuclear RNA from Arvicanthis niloticus (Nile rat), 107 nucleotides. Lineage: Eukaryota; Metazoa; Chordata; Mammalia; Rodentia; Muridae. The record is from RefSeq and is a predicted model, not a curated record.
GUGCUUGCUUCAGCAGCACAUAUGCUAAAAUUGGAACAAUACAGGGCAGAUUAGCAUGGCCCCUGCACAGGGAUAAUACAAAAAUUCACUAAGUGUCCCAAAUUUUU